CGACAAUCAACUAAUGUAACUGGUGUACGUCAGAUUAUGCUCUAUAUAGCCGUUGUGUGUUCGAUUGUCUGCUCCCGUGUAAGACACUGAGCAUUUGUGUCUCAUCCUCACAUCGUAAAUUGAAGUACAGCAUAUCAAGCAUGUUCAGAGUUGUGAUAGCCAUCACAUUAGCGGUGUUGAUGAUGGUGAUGGGCGUUCAGGUGUUGGCAUGUAUAGAGACAGGUCAGGAAUGCUCCAAAUCUUCAUCAAGGUGCUGUAAUCAGAAUGACAAGUGCCAGGUGAAUUCGAGCGUUAUACACUUCUCUAGAGAUGUGACAGGCAUCUGUUUUGAUGUGAGCCCCUAUCUAUUGCAACCAGGCAAUUUGAGAAGCGAUGAAACCGCGUGCUCUGACAGUAUCGAGUGCAUCAGUAAAUGUUGCCAGAAGUUGACGGGUGCGGGAAUGGUAAUGAUAGAAUGUGGCAGUCAAAUUGGAAUUUUAUGUUACACAUCUAUAGCAUACCAACGAGCUUAAAUAAGCAUAAAAAUGGAACGAAACUUUCAAUUUCAGAACAAGUUAUAUCAACAGAAUUAGACGCCGGCAAAAAUUAUCAUGUUUAAGUGUAGCAGAAAAUUUUAUUGUUGUUCUUCAUUGUACCACCAAAAGAACAAUAAAACAACACACACACACACAACCGUUUUAUUUUAAAUUUCUGAUAUUUCUCCUACAUUGCUCAACAAGAGACAAAUCUCUUGCAAUAUGAAUAAUUUAACUAUUAAAUAGAGUGAAUUAAAAUGUCUGAUCUUACACAUAGCUAAUACAAUCUCAUAUAUCUGAAAUACUAGCAUUAAAGGCAUUUGUUCCUGG
Long non-coding RNA from Physella acuta, 845 nucleotides. RefSeq lists it as uncharacterized. The record is from RefSeq and is a predicted model, not a curated record. Lineage: Eukaryota; Metazoa; Mollusca; Gastropoda; Physidae.